Molecule: long non-coding RNA, 1077 nt
Organism: Megalopta genalis
Lineage: Eukaryota; Metazoa; Arthropoda; Insecta; Hymenoptera; Halictidae
Source: RefSeq, a predicted model, not a curated record
CACUAUUGAGGUAUGUCUCGACUAUCCUUCGAUUUGUCCUCUUUAAUUUGCAACUGUGUUAUCUUACCAGAUGAUUGAAUUUAUUAAGCGAAGCCGAUCGAUAUGAUAGACUACGCUAUCGGUCAGAAGUACUUUAGCAGUGAUAGUGAAGAAGGAAGGCACCAGUCGUACACUAUUCGACAAAAUUUUCAAAAUCAUUCCGACAAUUCGACAGAUCGCGAAUUUUGAAACUUUUCCAGAUAAAUAGCGUUCGCGAAUUUUUUGUUAUUGGAAUUCAUUGUCCAAGUGGUCCAGCAUUUUCGGGGGACAGCAUAGAUAAAGUGCAGCAUCAAGACAAAAGGUCGAUAUUGAGUCACUUUACGUGUAGCCGGUCACGUUUUACAGAUAAGGAACACAAUUCGCCGAAAGUAUGUACAUUAUCGAGAUAACGCAAGAGUCGUCGGAGCUGGAUUAAUCGUAAUACCGGUACAGUUGAAAAAUGCCUCACCUUUUGAAACGUCAUUCUCGGAAAGGCUAGGUGACUGAUGUUGUUAUGUCGAUUUCUGACAUCCAACAGUCGUGCGAAGUUGAAAUCCGCAAGCGAUUCCGUUUUUCGUUCGAUAAAAAGCAUCGCGGGGAAAACGCACAAUGCAAUUGUGUUCAUUUAUUGAUCUAUUGACAACGUAUAAUCUGUGAAUUAUAAAUUAUAACUUAGACUUGGAGAAUUUAUGAACAUAAAUAACUUCUACUUUUCUUUUUCGACUGUCUUUUCUGUGUCUCUUGUAAAUAAGAAAUUUUCAUUGUUAUUAGCUGCUGCUGAAUUACUCCUUCACUUUGUUCUAUAUUCGGAGGAACAUCGAGCUUAUUCAGUGGAUGUUUUGUCAAGCAAAUUAUUCUCCGCAGGAUGUGUACCGAAAUCUGAAGUGGAUUUUGAAGCAAUGGACCGCUUAUGAUGAUGCAUUUGAAACAGGAGUAUCGACGAUGCUGCUUAGAUUUCUCGCAAAUUAGUCACUGAAAGUUCCUAUCUUUUGUUCCAAUUAGAUUGUGACGCAGGAUUUAUGUAACUACAAAUACAUGAAGAAAUGACUUUAAGUUAAA